UCAAAGAUCAAAUUUCUAGCAAUUUAAAUAUUCUUUUGAUGAUUAUUUUCUUUCACUUUUUUCCAAUAGCAUCAGUAAAUUUAAUUUCACUUUGAAUGCUUUUUUAUUUUAGUUUUUGUUAUCUUUGAUAUGUGUAAUUGUGUUGAAUAUUUCGUGAAGCAACUAUUCGAAAAAGUAAAAUUCUGGUAAGAGCUCACUUGAAAAUUCAUCCAUGCCUAAAACGUCGGAAAGGAGUAUGAUGUGGUUUGACAAAUAAGGCACAAAGCCUAAGCUAUAGUUUUAGUCUUUCUUUAUUAAAUUAUGCCAUUUUUAUUAAUUAGAGUCCUUUUUUAAUUUAAUUUGAUAAUGAGAUGCUGUAAUUUCACUUUUAUUUAGCAAAGGGCUGUCUCAGUAGCCUUGGACUUAUUUUUGCGUGGGAGUUUUUGUUCAAUUUAUUAAAAUUGAGGGGUUCUCCAAUUUUCUUAAUUGCAAUACAUAAGAAUUAACGAUUUGUCGAUCUACUCAAAUUUUGGUAUUCUUCUGCAAAUCAAUGAGUCUUGACUUCCUAAAUUCAACAUGUUUUUAGGCCCACUCUUUGUUCUGGGAUAUUUAUUACUUCGAGCUGCACCUAGGAAUCGUGUUAAACUAUCUCAUCUAUAGUGAUUAAAUAGUAAAAAAAAAAUGCUUUAUUCAUAAUUUAUCGUUAACCAAUAUAUAAUUCAUUUUUAAUUUUGUCAAAUGCUAGACAUAAUCAAAUUUUCAUAAAUAGAAGACCAAAAUUUAUCUUUUUCAUCAAAUAUUCAAAGGCACGAUUUUCUUUAAUCAAAUACUACUUUAAACUAAGGCUAAAUCAUUUUGCCUCUAUGUUGUAUAGGCUAGAAGGAAAAGUUGCCCUUAUAACAGGAGAAGCCAGUGGAAUUGGAGAAUGCACUGCAAAACUCUUCUCUCAGAAUGGAGCCAAAGUUGUCAUUGCUGAUGUCCAAGAUGAACUAGGUCUCUCAGUUGUCGAAGCCAUUGGCCCUAUCAAUUCCACCUACGUCCACUACGAUGUUACUAAUGAAGAUGAUGUCAAAAAUGCCGUGGACAAAACAAUUUCAAUCUAGGGAAAACCGGACAUUAUUUUCAUCAAUGCAGG
Molecule: long non-coding RNA, 1114 nt
Filed under: Olea europaea (common olive)
Lineage: Eukaryota; Viridiplantae; Streptophyta; Magnoliopsida; Lamiales; Oleaceae
Description: long non-coding RNA (OEUR_LNC003204)
Source: RNAcentral